This 253-nucleotide ribosomal RNA is filed under the name uncultured bacterium. Its description in RNAcentral is "partial 16S ribosomal RNA". It matches the Rfam family "Bacterial small subunit ribosomal RNA", at positions 524 to 776 of the family's 1533-position model. The record is from RNAcentral.
UACGUAGGGUGCAAGCGUUAAUCGGAAUUACUGGGCGUAAAGCGUGCGCAGGCGGUUCGCUAAGACAGAUGUGAAAUCCCCGGGCUUAACCUGGGAACUGCAUUUGUGACUGGCGGGCUAGAGUAUGGCAGAGGGGGGUAGAAUUCCACGUGUAGCAGUGAGAUGCGUAGAGAUGUGGAGGAAUACCGAUGGCGAAGGCAGCCCCCUGGGCCAAUACUGACGCUCAUGCACGAAAGCGUGGGGAGCAAACAGG